UAGCUCAGUGGUAGGGCAUUUGACUGCAGAUCAAGAGGUCCCUGGAUCAACUCCAUG
Molecule: transfer RNA, 57 nt
Filed under: Chlorocebus sabaeus (green monkey)
Lineage: Eukaryota; Metazoa; Chordata; Mammalia; Primates; Cercopithecidae
Rfam family: tRNA
About the family: Transfer RNA (tRNA) molecules are approximately 80 nucleotides in length. Their secondary structure includes four short double-helical elements and three loops (D, anti-codon, and T loops). Further hydrogen bonds mediate the characteristic L-shaped molecular structure. tRNAs have two regions of fundamental functional importance: the anti-codon, which is responsible for specific mRNA codon recognition, and the 3' end, to which the tRNAs corresponding amino acid is attached (by aminoacyl-tRNA synthetases). tRNAs cope with the degeneracy of the genetic code in two manners: having more than one tRNA (with a specific anti-codon) for a particular amino acid; and 'wobble' base-pairing, i.e. permitting non-standard base-pairing at the 3rd anti-codon position.
Source: Rfam by way of RNAcentral